UACGUAGGGUGCGAGCGUUAAUCGGAAUUACUGGGCGUAAAGCGUGCGCAGGCGGCUUUGCAAGACAGAUGUGAAAUCCCCGGGCUCAACCUGGGAACUGCAUUUGUGACUGCAAGGCUAGAGUACGGCAGAGGGGGAUGGAAUUCCGCGUGUAGCAGUGAAAUGCGUAGAUAUGCGGAGGAACACCAAUGGCGAAGGCAAUCCCCUGGGCCUGUACUGACGCUCAUGCACGAAAGCGUGAGGAGCAAACAGG
Molecule: ribosomal RNA, 253 nt
Filed under: uncultured bacterium
Lineage: Bacteria
Description: partial 16S ribosomal RNA
Rfam family: Bacterial small subunit ribosomal RNA
Source: RNAcentral